Molecule: ribosomal RNA, 445 nt
Filed under: uncultured bacterium
Lineage: Bacteria
Description: SSU rRNA
Rfam family: Bacterial small subunit ribosomal RNA
Source: RNAcentral
AGAGCGAACGCUGGCGGCAGGCUUAACACAUGCAAGUCGAACGCAUCCUUCGGGGUGAGUGGCAGACGGGUGAGUAACACGUGGGAACGUACCCUUCGGUUCGGAACAACUCUGGGAAACUGGAGCUAAUACCGGAUACGCCCUUUUGGGGAAAGGUUUACUGCCGAAGGAUCGGCCCGCGUCUGAUUAGCUAGUUGGUGGGGUAAUGGCCUACCAAGGCGACGAUCAGUAGCUGGUCUGAGAGGAUGAUCAGCCACAUUGGGACUGAGACACGGCCCAAACUCCUACGGGAGGCAGCAGUGGGGAAUAUUGGACAAUGGGCGCAAGCCUGAUCCAGCCAUGCCGCGUGAGUGAUGAAGGCCUUAGGGUUGUAAAGCUCUUUUGUCCGGGACGAUAAUGACGGUACCGGAAGAAUAAGCCCGGCUAACUUCGUGCCAGCAGCCGC